GCUAAUUAAGUGUUUUGCACAUUGACUUUUCACGUCAAAAGAACACUAGGUGUAUUUAGCU
This 61-nucleotide transfer RNA is filed under the name Acuticosta chinensis. RNAcentral describes it as "tRNA-Glu". The record is from RNAcentral. Lineage: Eukaryota; Metazoa; Mollusca; Bivalvia; Unionida; Unionidae.